GAGGGUAUAGCUCAAGUGGUAGAGUGCGUGUUUGGAUGCGUGAUGUCCUGGGUUCAAUCCCCAGUACCUCCU
RNAcentral lists this transfer RNA (72 nucleotides) under Camelus bactrianus (Bactrian camel). It matches the Rfam family "tRNA". Rfam says of the family: Transfer RNA (tRNA) molecules are approximately 80 nucleotides in length. The record is from Rfam by way of RNAcentral. Lineage: Eukaryota; Metazoa; Chordata; Mammalia; Artiodactyla; Camelidae. RNAcentral also lists the same sequence under 2 other names.